ACUAUAAGCCCAAUCCAGCUAGCCCAACCUCAAAUCCAGCUCAAGUAUGUACUAAACCCGGCCCAUCACCCCAGAUCUUCAUCCUUCUCAUUUUCACAAAAGAAGAACCACAACGUAUCCAAACGAACCCUAAGGCUCCUCCACGCCUCUGCCAGCAAAUCAAGCUCACAAUGAGCUGUCUCCGGCCAAAUAUAGCAAUGGGUCUACACGUCUUCACCCUCCCAGAAGUUGCUCGACCAUUUUGGGCAAAAUUUUUAUUGAAAUUUGUCAAUUUCUCCAUCAAAUUGAAUAUCAAAACGGUAACAAUCCCUCUUUUCCUUUAUCUUUCUUUAUCUUUAUCCUCUCUAUGGAAAAACCAGUACAAAUUGGCAGACGAGACCUUAAUGGUAUUUGUCCUAUUUUUGGACUUCAAAUUUUUCUUCAAUUCAACAGCCAAAGUUCAAAUUUUGAACCAGUCCCACAUCGUUCUUUCUUGUCCAAACCCUAAGUUUUGGGGCUCUAUAAAUAGAACCCUAAUUCCUCAUUCCAGAGUACGUUUUGACACCCUUCAGAAAUCACUCUCUUUUUCUCACCUUUGAUUUCUCUUCAUUGGCUCAAAGUGAAGCGUUCAAAUUGUGAGUGAAAGGAAGCACUGUCGUUCUCGUCGUCCCAGCUGCACUACAACAAGUAUGUAGAUUAAGCAUAACUCCUACUUUGUGUUGUCCUUAAAUGAGUUGAUUGUUAAUCGUUGAACUUAUAUGUGUCUUUGUCCCAUUUGUAUACGGUAAAAAUCGGACACGUGCUAAACCGGUGAGACCCGGAACCGAAGGAAGAAGGGGACAAGAACAUGCAUGAGGACUUUCAUUCUGAACGGGAGGAACGCUUGGACCGGAGCCAAGGAAGGGCAUCAUUUGAUCCGGUUUCCUCAUGGCCGAGUUGGCCGUUGCCGUUGGUCCGUUUGGUCGUAGCCGUUAGUCCGUUCAUUCAUGGCCGUUGGUCUGCGAGAUCCGUUGCACGAUUGCCACGCGUCGAUUACGUCCUGCCAUGCUCAACUGUCAAUCGUACGGGUGUCAGACCGUACGGCCAACCUAAUCCAACCUAAUCCAGAGUUUUUCUUUAUUUUUAGUUUUCUCUUAUUGUAUGGAGCCCAUGAGGUAACACUAUAAAUAAGGGUCAUUGCCCACUUUUAAGGGGUUGGCUCCCUCAUAUCAAGAACUCUUGUAAUAGCAAAAAUUAUAUAAACUCUCUCUCAAAUAUCUGAUUUCGGUCCA
Long non-coding RNA from Lycium barbarum (goji berry), 1250 nucleotides. RefSeq lists it as uncharacterized. The transcript has 2 exons. The record is from RefSeq and is a predicted model, not a curated record. NCBI's taxonomy places the organism in Eukaryota, Viridiplantae, Streptophyta, Magnoliopsida, Solanales, Solanaceae.